RNAcentral lists this ribosomal RNA (264 nucleotides) under uncultured Staphylococcus sp. RNAcentral's name for it is "partial 16S ribosomal RNA". It matches the Rfam family "Bacterial small subunit ribosomal RNA", at positions 99 to 356 of the family's 1533-position model. The record is from RNAcentral. Lineage: Bacteria; Bacillati; Bacillota; Bacilli; Caryophanales; Staphylococcaceae.
CGGACGGGUGAGUAACACGUUGGAUAACCUACCUAUAAGACUGGGAUAACUUCGGGAAACCGGAGCUAAUACCGGAUAAUAUAUUGAACCGCAUGGUUCAAUGGUGAAAGACGGUUUUGCUGUCACUUAUAGAUGGAUCCGCGCCGCAUUAGCUAGUUGGUAAGGUAACGGCUUACCAAGGCAACGAUGCGUAGCCGACCUGAGAGGGUGAUCGGCCACACUGGAACUGAGACACGGUCCAGACUCCUACGGGAGGCAGCAGUG